UUAAUUUAAUUAUUUAAGAUAAUAGUUAAUUAAUUGAUUAAAUUUUUACUUGAUUAGUUUAUUAGACUUUAAAUAAUUAAUUGUUUUUGUUAAGUAGAUUAUUUGAUUAAUUGUUUAAUCAAUCAGAUUGUGUUAAGUCAACUAAUUAGGAAAUUUCUUCAUCCAUAUCCAUACCCUAACAUAUGUAAAUAAUUAUCUCACUAACAUAACAUCCAAUAAUCAAUUUCAAUCUCUUCAAAGUAUUUUCUUAAAUAAAAUUGAAAGAAA
Molecule: long non-coding RNA, 267 nt
Filed under: Lathyrus oleraceus (garden pea)
Lineage: Eukaryota; Viridiplantae; Streptophyta; Magnoliopsida; Fabales; Fabaceae
Description: Pisum sativum (pea) long non-coding RNA (PSAT_LNC034867)
Source: RNAcentral